GCCAUAGCAGCAGAGUCGAGUAGCUGUGACAGAGGCUAUACGGUCCACAAAGCCUAAAUAUUUAUUACCUGGUGCUUUAUGAAAAAGUUCGCCAAUCUCUGUUAGUUCUUGUUUCCUGCACAUACAGCUCCACUGAAUCUGGGUUAUAGAUCAAUAUCAAGUGUUCCCAUCAAUACAGCUAUCCACGCAGCACACUGAAGAGAGACUAUACAGUCAGUAUUACUCCUGCUAAAUACCCAGAGGGACCACAACCAACUUUCCUGGUCUGUGUUCCAUUAUACAAAAGAGGACUACAAAGAAAAGGACUGUGGAAAUAAAUGCAUACUCUUCUUUUGAAAUUCGUGAGGAAUGUUCAUGAUUUUUAACCAUAAGACAGCAAAAUGGGAUAAGGUGAUAAACAAUGCAAACGGUACUGUAACUGUUAAAGAAAAAAAGGAAGAAAUGCAAAGAAAAAAGAAAGUCAUCACUAGGAAUCUUAAAUUCUGAAAAAAAGAGUUCAAAAAGAUCUAAUGGGGAGAAGAGAACUUUCCAACUGUUGUCAUCCUGCUAUUGUAACCUGAGCCCCUCCCAAGUUUUCAGACUCCAAAAUCAGAUCUAAUUAAAAGAAAAUGGAAAAGGACUUGGAGCCUUUUCAGCUCUGGAUAACAUGCAGACAAAUAAAUUAAAAAGGGGGAGAAGUGGAACUAACCCAAUAAUCCGUGAAAAGCUCAUUUCCCUCCCGGCCGCCACUGAUGCAACACUGUCCUUCCUCCCUCCCAUCCUCUGGUUCAGGGGCAGUGAGUGGAGAAAUUGGCUAACAAGAUCAGAAAAUUUAAUUACAGCUCUGCCGUCCCCUUCCGAGAAGUUGGCUGUCACACUUCCCUUUUGCAGAUCGUCGUCUGAAUGUGCUGUCUCUGAUGAGCUUCCCCUCCGCCCCAGUCUCACUCAUCUCCCGACAUCGGCUCGGGACGGUGGACACAGACACUUUAAUUUGGGGGUUUAGAAGGAUUAGAUAUGAAGAUUAAAAGGAGCAGUUGGAGAAGAGAAUGUCGUUAUCCUCUCAUUUCCUUUGGUCUGCCUGAGCAACUUUGCCCAGUCUUAUCCCAAGAGAAGUACUGUGGGAGCCCCAAAGGCUUAGCAUCCUCGCAUUCCAGACCUAAAGAAGCCCUGAGACCCUGUAGAAGGAGCAGACACACCUGCAUUCAAGUGUCUGUUUUGCAUGCUGACUCAGAGAUACAGGAACGGCUUCCUUGAGCAGUGUUUCUAGCAAGAUUCUGAAAUGCUUUGGGCUCAAAACAAACACACGAACAAAAGAAUAAUGUGGUCCAUUAAUGAUUUCUUCCAGGGGGGUAGAAUGCAGAAUGGUGUCAAAAGAACCAAGUGUUUGCCAUUUCUGUUCUAGGGCAGCCAGAGGUUUAUGUCCAAAUCCAGUGUGCAAACCACUGGAGAGUGACAUGGAACAGGUGUCUUCAAAAUUCAAAGUUUAGCCAAUUAAAAAAAGGACUCUUGGUUUGCUUCUCUGUCACUAGGCAAAGCAAGGUAGUCAGACAAACUGUGCAGAGGUUCCCGGCCUUCACGUGACUGAGAUGCUAUUUCUCUUCACAGAAUGUAGUCGGCCCCUAUGUCCUCAGACCACCACAGGUCUCCUCCUAGAUUAGGGCAAGAGACAUAAGCCCAGAAAAGUGACUGUGGUAAUAAGGGGCAGUCUCCUGCUAGUGUGUCAGGGAUCCUUAACUUGGCCCGGUCAAUGCUGCUGGGAAGACAGUGCAGCAGGAGGAAGAGGAGCCAGCCAAGGAAAGACAG
This 1782-nucleotide long non-coding RNA is filed under the name Equus caballus (horse). Its description in RNAcentral is "lncRNA (ENSECAG00000056632.1)". Lineage: Eukaryota; Metazoa; Chordata; Mammalia; Perissodactyla; Equidae. The record is from RNAcentral.